This 253-nucleotide ribosomal RNA is filed under the name uncultured bacterium. Its description in RNAcentral is "partial 16S ribosomal RNA". It matches the Rfam family "Bacterial small subunit ribosomal RNA", at positions 524 to 776 of the family's 1533-position model. The record is from RNAcentral.
UACAGAGGUCCCAAGCGUUGUUCGGAUUCACUGGGCGUAAAGGGUGCGUAGGCGGUCGGGUAAGUCUGAUGUGAAAUCUCACAGCUUAACUGUGAAACUGCAUUGGAUACUAUCCGGCUCGAGGAAUGGAGGGGGGACUGGAAUACUUGGUGUAGCAGUGAAAUGCGUAGAUAUCAAGUGGAACACCAGUGGCGAAGGCGAGUCUCUGGACAUUUCCUGAUGCUGAGGCACGAAAGCCAGGGGAGCAAACGGG